GACCCCUUAGCUCAGUGGUAGAGUGUGUGAUUCCAGCCUUCAUCUAUUGGAGCUUCCACAAAGUCAUCUGUUCAAAUCAGGUAGGGGUCA
This is a non-coding RNA of Termitomyces sp. T159_Od127, 90 nucleotides long. The record is from the annotation of a GenBank genome assembly. Lineage: Eukaryota; Fungi; Basidiomycota; Agaricomycetes; Agaricales; Lyophyllaceae.